Molecule: ribosomal RNA, 500 nt
Filed under: uncultured bacterium
Lineage: Bacteria
Description: SSU rRNA
Rfam family: Bacterial small subunit ribosomal RNA
Source: RNAcentral
AGAACGAACGCUGGCGGCGUGGAUAAGACAUGCAAGUCGAGCGCUGAUUAAAGGGUAGCAAUAUCUUUUAAUCGGAGCGGCGCAAGGGUGCGUAACACGUGGGUAAUUUGCCAUGAAGUUGGGGAUAACUUGCUGAAAGGCGAGCUAAUACCGAAUGUGGCCAGAUGGAGGCAUCUCUGUCUGGCUAAAGUUGGGGAUCGUAAGACCUGACGCUUCUUGAUAAACCCGCGGCCUAUCAGCUAGUUGGUGAGGUAACGGCCCACCAAGGCUAAGACGGGUAGCUGGUCUGAGAGGACGACCAGCCACACUGGAACUGAGACACGGUCCAGACACCUACGGGUGGCAGCAGUCGAGAAUUUUUCACAAUGGGGGAAACCCUGAUGGAGCGACGCCGCGUGGGGAUGAAUGGCUUCGGCCCGUAAACCCUGUCAUUUGCGAACAAAUGUGCAUACAUAACACGUGUGUACUUGAUGGUAGACGAAAGAGGAAGGGACGGUACG